RNAcentral lists this ribosomal RNA (374 nucleotides) under uncultured Gaiellaceae bacterium. Its description in RNAcentral is "bacterial SSU rRNA". It matches the Rfam family "Bacterial small subunit ribosomal RNA", at positions 524 to 896 of the family's 1533-position model. The record is from RNAcentral. Lineage: Bacteria; Bacillati; Actinomycetota; Thermoleophilia; Gaiellales; Gaiellaceae.
CACGUAGGGUGCAAGCGUUGUCCGGAAUCAUUGGGCGUAAAGAGCGUGUAGGCGGCCAGGUAGGUCUGGUGUGAAAACUCGAGGCUUAACCUCGAGAUGUCAUCGGAAACCAUUUGGCUAGAGUCCGGAAGAGGAAAGUGGAAUUCCUGGUGUAGCGGUGAAAUGCGCAGAUAUCAGGAAGAACACCAAUGGCGAAAGCAGCUUUCUGGGACGGUACUGACGCUGAGACGCGAAAGCGUGGGGAGCGAACAGGAUUAGAUACCCUGGUAGUCCACGCCGUAAACGAUGGGCGCUAGGUGUGGGCGGUGUCGACUCCUCCUGUGCCGAGGCUAACGCAUUAAGCACCCCGCCUGGGGAGUACGGCCGCAAGGCUA